GAUGAACGCUGGCGGCGUGCCUAAUACAUGCAAGUCGAGCGAACAGAUGAGGAGCUUGCUCCUCUGACGUUAGCGGCGGACGGGUGAGUAACACGUGGAUAACCUACCUAUAAGACUGGGAUAACUUCGGGAAACCGGAGCUAAUACCGGAUAAUAUAUUGAACCGCAUGGUUCAAUAGUGAAAGACGGUUUUGCUGUCACUUAUAGAUGGAUCCGCGCCGCAUUAACUAGUUGGUAAGGUAACGGCUUACCAAGGCAACGAUGCGUAGCCGACCUGAGAGGGGGAUCGGCCACACUAGAGCUGGGACACGGUCCAGACUCCUACGGGAGGGAGCAGUAGGGAAUCUUCCGCAAUGGGCGAGAGCCUGACGGAGCAACGCCGCGUGAGUGAUGAAGGUCUUCGGAUCGUAAAACUCUGUUAUUAGGGAAGAACAAAUGUGUAAGUAAAUAUGCACGUCUUGACGGUACCUAAUCAGAAAGCCACGGCUAACUACGUG
Molecule: ribosomal RNA, 497 nt
Filed under: uncultured bacterium
Lineage: Bacteria
Description: partial 16S ribosomal RNA
Rfam family: Bacterial small subunit ribosomal RNA
Source: RNAcentral